AUGGUGAGAGUCACCUGGGAACUCGUAAAAAAGCACAGUGCUGCAGCCCCAGCCAGCCUCGAAGAACCUGAACCUCCUGGGAGGGUCUUCGAGGCUGCCAUAUGGUUACCAGUGCUCCAGAGACAGAGUCUCACCAGGUUGGCCCAUCUGGUCUCAAACUCCUGGCCUCAAGUGAUCCUCCUGGCCUCCAGUGAUCCUCCUGCCUUGGUUUCUGCCAAGUGCUGGGAUUAUAGGUACAAGUCAUCACACCCGGCCCCUGUGUGUCCUUGAGUGUGUUUAUCUGUGCAUAUGUGUGAGUGUGUGCCAGCCAGAUGUGUGCCCCUGAGUGUAAACAUGUGUUUACAUGUUUGUUGCAUCAAGAAAUUUCUUCCAAGAUGUAUUUUUUUGUUAUUGUUUUAAAAGGAUCCCUCCUGCUCCCUUCUCUGUCCACUCUGGGCUCCUGGCUAACAAGACCUAGAGAACCAUGGAAAAGGUCCGCCUGUGGAUGGAAAAGAAGAGCCCAGGCCACACCUUGGAUCCUUAUUCUGCCUUUGACCUGGGUAUGAUUGUGGGCAGUAGGGCAUCUCAGCACCUGCCAUGUGACUAGCCAUUGGGGCAGGGGCCUGAAGAGGGGUCAAGCUAGGCUUGGGUGGAGGGAGACAAGGGAUCUUUCGUCGUGCUGUGGAGUGCUGAAGAAAUGGAAAGUGAUGGCAAAUUGUUGUGGGCCAGACAUGGGUUCACAUCUGUUUCAGCAUGUGUUAGCUUUGUUGAUUUUAGGAAAAUCCUUCUCUGAGCCUCGGGUUGGAUCAUCUGGGUAAUGGCUAGGAGUAUAAUGCUUCAUCCUAAAUACGAUAAUGGGAAGUUGCUGCAGUGGAAUUGUCCCCAACUAUUUUUGGCACCAGGGACUGGUUUCAUUGAAGGCAUUUUUUUUUCCAUGAACAGUGGAGUAGUGUUUCCGGGAUGAAACUGUUCCACCCCAGAUCAUCAGGCAUUAGAUUCUCAUAAGGAGCCCACAACCUACAUCUGUCGAAUGCGCAGUUCACAAUAGGGUUCGCGCUCCUGUGAGAAUCUAAUGCUGCCACUGAUCUGACGGGAGGCGGAGCUCAGGUGGUAAUGCUCACCCGCUGCUCACCUCCUGCUAUGUAGCCGGGUUCCUAACAGGCCACAGACCCAUCCCCGGUCCACAGCCCAAGGGUUGGGGACCUCUGCCAUAGAUGCUUCUGUGAUGAUGUAGGUGUUCUGUAUCGGUAACGGUCAGUAUGGCAGCCACUACCUGCAUGUGGCUACUGAGCACUUGGAGUGUGCUAGUGUGACUGAAGAACUGAAAUUUCAGGUUUAUUUUAUUUUAAUUAUUUUAAAUUUAAAUUCAAAUAGCUACAUAAUAAAUAAUGGCUACUAUAUUGGAUCCACCACUAGAUGGCAGCACUGAAGAAUGUCAAGCAAUGAAAGCGGCACAAUCCAAUUAAGUGUAAAAUAAAGUGUGGGCAACUCUCUCUUUGUUCCCCCAGAUGUAUUCUGUUUUUUGUUUUGUUUUGUUUUGUUUUGUUUUGAGAUAGAGUCUCGCUCUGUCGCCCAGGCUGGAGUGCAGUGGCGCUAUCUCGGCUCACUGCAAGCUCCGCCUCCCGGGUUCACGCCAUUCUCCUGCCUCGGCCUCCUGAGUAGCUGGGAUUACAGGCGCCUGCCACCAUGCCCGGCUAAUUUUUUGUAUUUUUAGUAGAGACGGGGUUUCACCGUAUUAGCCAGGAUGGUCUCGAUCUCCUGACCUCGUGAUCCGCCCGCCUUAGCCUUCCAAAGUGCUGGGAUUACAGGCGUGAUCCACCGCGUCCGCCCCCCCCAAAAGUAUUAUUUUCUUUUGGUCCAUGAACUUCAAGCCUUGGAGUGACUGACCUCUUUUACAGGGACACUAGGAGGCAGCAAUGGCCAGUACCUUAAUGCCCAAUGCACAGUUUUUCUUAAAUCCCUU
This 1942-nucleotide long non-coding RNA is filed under the name Papio anubis (olive baboon). RNAcentral's name for it is "lncRNA (ENSPANG00000038881.1)". The record is from RNAcentral. Lineage: Eukaryota; Metazoa; Chordata; Mammalia; Primates; Cercopithecidae.